Molecule: long non-coding RNA, 938 nt
Organism: Patella vulgata (common limpet)
Lineage: Eukaryota; Metazoa; Mollusca; Gastropoda; Patellidae
Exons: 2
Source: RefSeq, a predicted model, not a curated record
UCCUACAACAUUCCUAUCCUCUUAUGUAUACUUUCGUUUUAGCAAAUAAUUCGCCACUUACUUGUACGACGUGUUGCUAUAACCACGAUAUUAUCGUAUUAUUAUUAUUACAACUCUUGGUGAAGUAAACCAGCACAUUUAUCCUCAACUCGAUAAUUUCUGAAGGUCAGUGUUUAGAUGUUUUGAAAUAUUACUGGAUCAUCUUCCAGUUAAAACAAAUAUCUUUCAUUACGCUGUCGUGUAUUAUCGGCCCUACUGUGGCGUCACCCUUGGAAUUUUCAACGAACAGGAACAAGUACUGAUUUGUAUUUUCAGACCAGUCUUUAUUUACAUUAAAACCAGUAAGCAACUAGUAAACAUUAUAUAGGUCGGCGAUAACAGUCAAAACACAACGGAAGACGAAAUCAGAGAAUUGGAUAAUAUUAUAGCUGACAUUUCUGUUAAAUUGCGUCGUAUGACUGUGUGCAUGUGUGUACAUAAAAUUAAAUGAAACAGCGAUUAAAGAGAAGGGGUGCAUCAUUAGCGUCAACCUUAUUGGUCCAUUAAUGACAUAACUAUCUUUUGUUUUAAAACUGACAACGAAUUUUAUUUUGUCUUAACAGUUUCUGAAACAUAUAAUAAUGGAAAGUUGCAGCGGAUUAGUUUCACUUUUAAUCAUGGUUUUGGUUGUACUUUUAUUUAAUUGUUCGACCACAUCGUCAAGGUCUUUGAAUGAGGAGAGAGUCUGUAGGUAUGAGAAUAUGACCAUUACCGCUGGAAGAAGAUUUCACCCAGAACCCUGUAUGACCUGUUCGUGCUCACGUCACGGGGGCAGGGUGACCUGUUCUAUUAAAGACUGUCAAAGUGAAAUUAACUGCCUAAAAUUUGACAAAAACUCGAGGUCUUGUUGUCCCAGAUGUUUGGAAUACGGUUGCGCUCACACAGAUGGUAAAGUUUAU